This 1311-nucleotide long non-coding RNA is filed under the name Salmo salar (Atlantic salmon). RNAcentral's name for it is "lncRNA (ENSSSAG00000096749.1)". The record is from RNAcentral. Lineage: Eukaryota; Metazoa; Chordata; Actinopteri; Salmoniformes; Salmonidae.
GGCUGCUGUUUAACAGGCUCUUAACCAAUGGUGCUGGAGGAGAUGGCUGCUGUUUAACAGGCUCUUAACCAAUGGUGCUGGAGGAGAUGGCUGCUGUUUAACAGGCUCUUAACAAAUGGUGCUAUUGUGUGUUUGUGUUAUUUGUAAGUUGUUUUGUCCAUAAUGUUUCUGCCACCGUCUCUUAUGACUGAAAACAGCUUCUGGAUAUCAGGACAGUGAUUACUCACCUCGUACUGGACAAAGAUCUUUUUUAACGAGUUGGACUUGAAGGAUUUACUUCAGACACCUGACAAGGCCCUCAUCCUCGUCAUACGCAGGAGAAAGAGACAGAGAUAUCGGGGACGUAGGUCGGGAUGCCUUGUAAGGAAUUGAUGGCGAGUGGGUAAUCUGCCUCUACCUAUUAGCCUGUAAGGACAGACGCUGGGAGACGAGAAGCAAGUACAGGGAGUGAACAUUUAAUAAAUAACGGACAUGAAACAAAACACGGACAGCGUCUGGACGGGAAACAAAACGACAUUAAUGCUGACUCGGGAAAUAAACUGAGGAAGUGACAGAUAUCGGGGAGGUGAUUAGUAACGUGAUGGAGAGAAACUGAGGAAGUGACAGAUAUCGGGGAGGUGAUUAGUAACGUGAUGGAGAGAAACUGAGGAAGUGACAGAUAUCGGGGAGGUGAUUAGUAACGUGAUGGAGAGAAACUGAGGAAGUGACAGAUAUCGGGGAGGUGAUUAGUAACGUGAUGGAAAGAAACUGAGGAAGUGACAGAUAUCGGGGAGGUAAUUAGUAACGUGAUGGAGUCCAGGUGAGUCCAGGUGAGUCCAGGUGAGUCCAGGUGAGUCCGAUGACGCGUUGAUGUGUGUAACGAUGGUGGGAGGUGUGAGUAAUGAUCAGCAGCCUGGCGACCUCGAGCGACCUCGAGGGCGAGCAGACGUGACAUAGCCUGGAUAACAAAAUAGAUGAGCUACGAUCACAAAUAUCCUACCAACGGGAUAUUAACUGUAACAUCUUAUGUUUCACCGAGUCGUGGCUGACAUGGAUAACAUACAGCUGGGUGUACGCUGCAUCGGCAAGAUAGAACAGCUGCCUCCGGUAAGACAAGGGUUGACGGUCUGUGUCUAUUUGGAAACAACAGCUGGUGCACGAAAUCUAAUAUUAAGGAAGUCUCAAGGUUUUGCUCGCCUGAGGUAGAGUAUCUCAUGAUAAGCUGUAGACCACACUAUUUACCAAGAGAGUUUUAAUCUAUAUUUUUCAUAGCUGUCUACCACCACAAACUGAUGCUGCCAUUAAGACCGCAAACAAUGAGCUGUAUAAGGC